This is a long non-coding RNA of Phyllostomus discolor (pale spear-nosed bat), 3152 nucleotides long. RefSeq lists it as uncharacterized. Lineage: Eukaryota; Metazoa; Chordata; Mammalia; Chiroptera; Phyllostomidae. The record is from RefSeq and is a predicted model, not a curated record. The transcript is spliced from 2 exons.
UAUAAGGAUUUUGUCAUAUUUUCUUCUGAAAGUUUUAUUAAAGUUUUGAUUUUCACAGUUAGGUCUUUAAUCCACCAGGACUCAGUAUUUGUGGAAGGUCCAAGGAAGGAUUUGAUUGGAUAGUCAAUUGACAAUAGACAGUGAUCAGUUUAUCUAAUCACUAUUUACUGAUUGUCUGUUUUUCCUGAACUACUUUGGAGAACUCUCUCCUUCAUACAGUACUUCCUUUUAUGAGGCCAGUAUCUGUGCUUUCUGUUCUGCUACACUGUUCUCUUUAGCUACUGUCCCUCAAUACCACACUCUAAUCUCAGUGCCCUUUGUAAGUGGUAGAGCAAGUCCCCUGUCUUGUUUUCCAUCAUUUUGAUAGUCUUACCUGUUUUGGGCCUUUGUUCUUUCAUAUCAGUUUUGGAUCAGAUUGGUCAAAUCAUAAAAGGGAAUUUCUUUUAGGCUUUUUUAGGAUUUAAGAGAAGAAACAUUGUAAUUGAUAUUUUGUUUCAUAUGAACUGAUGUUAUUUAAAACAUUCACUUUUACUCCUUAGUAGUAACAUUUAAUUCUAAGUUUACUUAGAUUAUAGUUAGAAAGUAAGGCAAUAGGGCAAGAGGAUGAUUUUUCUACCGGAGAAUAUAUGAUGUAAUAGUACUGUAGCAGUGUACUGAGGUGGAUAUGUCUCUGUGUUGCUUUUUUGUUUGUUCAAAUGGAAGGACUUGAGAGAUGUUCUUACUGUUAAAAGACUACAUCUUGUUUAUAAGUAUGUCGACUAGACCAGCAAACACCUGUCACUUGACAAGUGAUAUUUCUAACCAUCUAUCAUCCAGGUAUCAAAACAAAACUUAAAGAUAUUUAGCUUUUACCUCCUGUUAUUUUCUCCCCCUUUUUGGUUGCCUUGUGUGUCCAAAUCUAACCCUCCCCCACCUUGGUUUUUCUACUUUCAUUUUUUACAAAAAUUUUUAAAGUAUUUUUGCUUACAGUUUUUUCCUGUUUUAAAUAGCUAGUCAGCAACAUUGGUGAGAAUAUUGUUUCUAGAAACCUGAGAUAUUUUGGCAUUGCCCAAGUAUUCAUUUCCCUUAUCCUUCCUUUUUAGCACUGAGUUUCACACUGGCUUAUUGGCAUUUCUGGGUCUUCCUUUGGAGUAAUAAACAUUGCUCCCAUCUUCUAGACUACCCUUAUGUUAUUUUCUUAGUGGACCUAUACCUGCCUGAGCUUACGGGAUAAGCAUGUCUCUGUUUCCGUGACACCCUGCAGAACACUUAAGGUGUUUUUUUACUCUUGAGACCUGUUUGUGACAGCUAUUACUGUUUCACUCAAAAAGGACUUUUUAAAGUUUCUUCUAGUUAAGGAAUGUUGAAAAUUGAAGGUCCCGGGAAGUAGUUAAAAUUCUGACUGACUUUUAAUGAACCUCAGAGGUUGUACUUAAUAGGUCUCUUAUAAAAGCAUGAAGGGAAAUGAUGAAUCAUUUAAAAAUUUUGUUACACAUAAUAUACCUGUUUAGUAUAAUUUUUAAAUGGUAGCAUAUAGAAAAAAAUUGUUACAGAAUUUUUUUUGUAAAUGAAAACUUGCAAACUCUUUUUCUUAGUGAAUGCACUCAUAUGAAGCAUUUGUUUACCAGUUUUCAUUUGCAUUGUGAGAAAUGUAGUGUCUGAAUUUUAGUUCAUUUGAACUAAAAGGGACUUUUAUUGUUGUCUGGAGCAGCUUCUCUUGCUUUCAUAUGUCACAAGAUGAAUUGUCUUCACAUCCUUUUCUAAAAGCUGUGCUUAAAUACUUAAAGAGAUCUAGCAUGCUCAGUGUUUUGGUUUUCCUGCUAGUACUAAGCACUUGAGGUGGAGGGUUGAAGGUUGACGAGGGGGGGACCUUUUUUUUAAAAACAUUAUUGCCUUAUUAGGCUCUUACUUUACUUGCAUUAGAAAAAUUCAGCUGAGUAAAUUUGAACAUCUAAUUGGCCUUAUUAAACAAUUCAUCAGUCAGGCAGCAUCUCGUCUAGCAAGCAGAGAUACUCAGGAGUUACAAAAAAUGGAAUGCUUUUAUAGAAAAGAGGGGCAAAGAAGUCAUUAGAAAAAGAAAAGUGAAAGUUCAUUGGUGGAAACUAGGAGUUCAGGGUGAUGAUAGCUUGUCAUUGGCUGAAUUGUGGUGUUUUCCAUUGGCUGGGCUUGUUGCUGGGCAUGAAGAAAAUCUCCAGCCAGGGUAGUCAAGUAGAGACGCCUUCCUGUUGGAGGUGGACUGCAUAUUGGGAGUAAUUGACACAAAUGGUAGGGUGUGAGAGCUCCCUCUACAGGCCUUCCCAAUCCCAACUUUAGUUGAGAUUUCAUUUAUUACAAUAUUUUGCUCUGUGUAAUUCAGUUUUUUGUGCAAAUUUUUGAGGGAAAAAUAAGGAUGGGCUUUAUACAUGGGUGUAAUAAUCAUAUACCACAGGUAUAAUAAUGGGUAUAAUAACCCCACGUAUGAUGUGCACAAAAGCAUGGGUGCACAUUAUAUGUGGGAGCGCAUUAAUUUUCACACUUGAUAGUGAGUGCAUAUUUGUAUUUAGUGUAGGGAUUGAACCUAAAAAGGUUAGUGUAUCAGAUAUCAAACAUUGCCCCCUGAAGAUUAUUGACAUUCUGAACUUAUUUUUAGUUCAUAUCACUUUAGUUUCAUGUGAGAAAUUUGUCAGUAUGUGGUGGUAUAGUUUUAAGAAUUUUAGCCAUUUUAGUGGUAUCUCAUUGUGGUUUUAAAAUGUGUUCAUCUGAUUACUGUUGGGCACCACCUUUAAAUAUAUUUAUUCACCAAAUGAUUGUCUUCUCUUUUGAAGUAUCUGUUUAGUCUUUCAUCCCUUUUUCUUUUCAUUUAAUUUCUGCAACACUUUUAAGCCUGGCAGCCAUUGUGGCCUUCAUUUUACAAAUGAGAACACGGAUUCAGAUUUGAUUCAGAGCUGAGGUGAACUACCUAGAGACAGUAAGCUAAUAAGUAAAUCUCAGAGCUGGGUGUAGAGAAGGCAGGUCUUCAUUGUUUAAUGGGUGAUGUGUGUACUCUGCAUGUGCUCACAGAGUGUACAUAACCAUUUCCUCAAGUCUGCAGAGGUCAUGUGAUCACCUGCCCAGUCUACAGCUUUUGAUUUUCCAUCUGUGACAUCUUGACAUGGUUAUGUGUACUUUGUAGACUCAUUUUUCCCCAGCUAUGG